UUCCUAGUAGCCUAGAUGGUAAAGAAUCUGCCUGCAAUGCAGGAGACCUGGGUUCAAUCCCUGGGUCGGAAA
Molecule: transfer RNA, 72 nt
Organism: Ovis aries (sheep)
Lineage: Eukaryota; Metazoa; Chordata; Mammalia; Artiodactyla; Bovidae
Rfam family: tRNA
About the family: Transfer RNA (tRNA) molecules are approximately 80 nucleotides in length. Their secondary structure includes four short double-helical elements and three loops (D, anti-codon, and T loops).
Source: Rfam